Long non-coding RNA from Poecilia latipinna (sailfin molly), 863 nucleotides. RefSeq lists it as uncharacterized. The transcript has 7 exons. Lineage: Eukaryota; Metazoa; Chordata; Actinopteri; Cyprinodontiformes; Poeciliidae. The record is from RefSeq and is a predicted model, not a curated record.
ACCACGAAGAGAAACGAGACUUACUGAAGAUGAGAGAUUCUGAGGAUGAAGAGGCCCGUCUGCCUGGACAGCCCGAGAUCAGCGAGUCUUCAUGAGCGAUUCUGGAUCUUCAGAUCCAAAAGGUCAGCGGGUCAGAAGAAGGCCGGAGGCUCCUGGAUCUGUGUCCAUCUGUACAGAGUGACCAGUCCAAAGGAGAAGUUAUUUAUUUCCACAAUGAAUCUGGAACUUCAGACCCAAAAGGUCAGCAAUUUAAAAGGAAGCCAGCGUCUCCAAGAUCUGACUGUCUGUCCAUGAGGAGUAACCAGUCCAAAGGAGAAGUGAUAUAUUUCCAUGAUGACCCUGGAACGUCACAUUCAAUGACCCAGCAGCACAGACAGACUGGUUGGUCUCCAGACUGUCUGUGAGUAACCAGUCCAAAGGUGAAGUUAUAUAUUUCCAUAAUGACCCUGGAGCCUCAGAAACAAUACAGAAGAACCAUCCCGUUGAUAAGAUCCAGCUGUUAUGCUGUGCGUUGUGCCAGGACAUCCUAAAAGAACCGAUCUCCAUGAAUUGUGAACACCAGUUCUGCAGACAGUGCAUAAAGCCUUACUGGGACCAGUUCAUCUCAGCAGGUAACCCCUUCUGUCCCCAUUGUGGAGAAAAGCCCAGAGCUGGACAGCAGUCUUUCCCAGCAGAUGUUGGCCUGCAGGGGGUUCUAGAGGAACAUAAGAUCAGUCUGAGGAGAUGUGACUGAAGGAAGUGAUGAAACGGGAAGUAGAACCCUCCUCAACAGGAUCUACACUGAUCUCUACAUCACAGAGGGACAGAGUGAAGAGGUUGAUACCCAACAUGAGGUGAAACAGCUUGAGAGAGCUUCCAAGAUC